This is a long non-coding RNA of Diorhabda carinulata, 982 nucleotides long. RefSeq lists it as uncharacterized. The record is from RefSeq and is a predicted model, not a curated record. The transcript is spliced from 3 exons. Lineage: Eukaryota; Metazoa; Arthropoda; Insecta; Coleoptera; Chrysomelidae.
GACAGCAAUUUUAUUUUAUACAAAUUAAUUAGUGGUUUAAAAAAAUUGGAAACUCAUUGGAGUAAAGUUAGUUAAAAGAAGAAGAUAUUGAAAAACGAAUUACUGUCUACUGUAACUUUUUCAUCGAAAGUAACAUUAUCAAACCGUCCACGUAAAUAAGAAACAAACGCCCUACAAAUGAUUUCCAAACCAAAAAUAGAUCAAACAAAUCAUUGGUGAACGUUAAGCAGACGUUAUUUAAUAAAGUAGGCUCAACUAAUAUGUACUCUGUUUUUUUAAAGAAAAUAAAUAUGAAUUAACUCAUCCGGAAAUGUAUCACAAACAGAUUAAAAAAAUAUGCCUUAUAAACGAGAGAUCAAUCAAUCGAUAAAUCAAUUUGAGAAUAAAAGAAAGAAUAUGGUGCAUCUUUGAAUUAAAGUUUUUGAAAGGUUCAUCCGCUUAUCCUUUUUGAUUCCCUCUUUUCCUUCUCAAAUCGAAGCCGUGCGUUAGAAGCACCUAGGCCUACAAAAAAAAAUUUGGAUGAAGGCUUUGGAGAAGUCAUGUACAACUUUUUGAACAUUUUCCGACUUCAGACCAGAACAUAAAUUUUCACAAGCGCUAAACAAAACGUCAAUAGCUCCCAGCCAUUAGAGGCAACACCCUCCACCUGUACGUACUCUUCGGUGGGCCAGCAUGAACUUCAUCCUUUGUGACAUUGCUCCAUGAAAACACCUAGGAAACCUCCAUCGCCUACUUUUUCGACAGAAAACCCUGUCUCUCCUCCAGACACUAUGCCUUCGCCUAAUACAUUGUAGUUGUCUUAAGAAUAUUUCCGUAUCUCGUUAAGUGAAUAUUUUAAUAGUAAAAUGUAUUUAAUACACAUUUGUUAUAAAAGGUGAUGUUAUGAAAGGAAUACGAUUGAAUAGCGAUGAAAUUCGAAAUAAACAAGUGUAUACAUUGUAAACUGUAAAUAAUAUCCAAUAAGUCAUUGAUGUAUUUUACA